RNAcentral lists this long non-coding RNA (219 nucleotides) under Ricinus communis (castor bean). RNAcentral's name for it is "long non-coding RNA (RCOM_LNC003281)". The record is from RNAcentral. Lineage: Eukaryota; Viridiplantae; Streptophyta; Magnoliopsida; Malpighiales; Euphorbiaceae.
GAACUGAUGAUUAGUUAGAAGCUGAUCCUUGAAAAGUUAAGUUAUUUAUUCUUUAGCUAAAUAUAACUUUUUAAUUUCCUUAUUAUGUUCACUAUCUUAAUAUCUUUUUCUAAGGUUAGUAGCUCUACCUCAUCUCUAAAUAAUUUCAUGAUAGGGUUAGUAGCUAAUCUUUAAUGUUAUUAAGUUACAUGGUAGAGUCACUUCAAAAGUCAUGUUGGG